Stegodyphus dumicola is the source of this 1611-nucleotide long non-coding RNA. The record is from RefSeq and is a predicted model, not a curated record. Lineage: Eukaryota; Metazoa; Arthropoda; Arachnida; Araneae; Eresidae.
AAAAGUGGGCGUUUGGUGGAAUAGAUCGAGGGACGGGAAGGUGUUUUUUUUUUGAAGUAGUUGAGGAUAGAAAGAAAGAAACUUUAUUGGACGUAAUCGAAAGAAAUAUUUUGCCAGGUACAACUAUUAUAUCUGACUGUUGGAAGUCCUAUAAUUGUCUGUCUGAUCAUGGGUUCGUUCACCUUUCUGUAAAUCAUGCACUCACAUUUAAAGAUCCACAAACGGGAGCUCAUAUAAAUAAUAUUGAAGGCAUGUGGGGUGUGGUGAAGAGAGAUUUUCGAAAAAAGUGUCAUUGACAGUCGGGAACUACACAGGAUAUUUUUGACUCGUAUUUUUGCGAAUUUAUAUGAUGACGUCGAUAUACAGAUUCGAGUUCAGAUAAUUUUAGGAAGUUUUUGGAUGCUGUUAAGGAAUUUUGUGUGCCACAGACUAAAGACGAAGGAAUUUCUAAAUAGGGAUACAUAUUUGUCUCCAAAAUUAUGGAUGAAUGAUAUUGUACUGCUAUCGAAGUUUAUGAAACAAAGUUAAAAUACUGGAUUAUGAUGGAUAUGGAUUCAGAGAUAAACAACAAAUCAGGCUCUGUUACUAGGUAACAUAGAUUCUGCAAAAGUGCAUGCAAGGAGUACAGUUGCAAAACAAAAUCUUGCACUUGAAUGCCUGAAUACCAUGGAUUUGAAUAGAGUCAAAAAUAAAAUACACAUCAGUGAAGUUUUGACGAAGGAUCCCAGAUGCCAUCGUGAAGUACUGCAAGGACAGGAUUUCUCUUGUUUCUGUCAGGCAUUCCAAAAAAGCGAGAUGAGACAGUGUUUCAACAUCUGUGGCAAGUUCCUGGAGUGUUUUCGUGGGCUUCUGUGGGCAGGAUUUUAAUUGAAGCCUGCUGUAGUCUUUCAAAUAUUUCUCCCCAAAGCACAGCUUCAACUCACUGGAUAAAGCUUCGAAAUCUAGUCUGGUUUUCUGGAAGAGUUUGAAGAAUAUCCGCAGCAUCUGCUCUCAGAGAAGCGGCAAGAUAUCAGGCACUAGCUUGGGAAUCCCAUCUAUUCGCAUCUGCUAGUAUAGAAAAUUGUGUGUUAUAUACUUGUGAUUAUAAUUAAAGUAAUGAUAAUUAAAAUUAUGUUUUUCUGAAAACAUUAAAUUAGAACAUUUCCCGUUCCAAUUUCUGUUGUGUUUUAAAUACCAUUACAUGUCAUUUUGGUGAUUUUUGAAUAAUCACCAUCAUAUGUAGAUAGCUUCAGAGAUGGAUGUCCAGGCAUGGCUAAAAAUUUAAAACUAUCGCUAUUAUUCCCUGCUGUCAGUAUGAAUUUCUUCAAAGUAUAAACUUCUUUGGCGACCGCAGUAACCCUGUCAUAAAUUUAUUGUUCCAUGGCAGAACUCUCUCUUCUGUUUCUUCUUUUACAGAAGAAACUCUUUCUUCCAUUUGUUCUUUUACUGAAGAAACUCAUUUAUUCAGUGUGUCCAACUUUAUUUUCAACAGCAUCAACUCUUCCUUGCAUAGCAUUCAUUAAUGUAUAAUGCAUUGCAUGUAAUUAUUGUUACAGCUAACAUAGUAGUCAAUUAUAUUUAUUCAAUUCCAAUACAAAUUAAAGAUAUACCUAUUUAUUAAAUGUUAAAUGC